Molecule: transfer RNA, 65 nt
Filed under: Vatana ogromna
Lineage: Eukaryota; Metazoa; Arthropoda; Insecta; Hemiptera; Cicadellidae
Also listed under: 1 other name
Description: tRNA-Thr
Source: RNAcentral
GUUUUAAUAAUUUAAAAAAAAUAAUGAUUUUGUAAAUCAAAAUUAAGGAAUAACCUUUUAAUUCA